UACGUAGGGUCCGAGCGUUGUCCGGAAUUAUUGGGCGUAAAGAGCUCGUAGGCGGCUUGUCGCGUCGUCCGUGAAAACCUGUGGCUCAACUGCAGGCUUGCGGUCGAUACGGGCAGGCUGGAGUUCGGUAGGGGAGACUGGAAUUCCUGGUGUAGCGGUGAAAUGCGCAGAUAUCAGGAGGAACACCAGUGGCGAAGGCGGCUCACUGGACCGGUACUGACGCUGAGGCGCGAAAGCGUGGGGAGCAAACAGG
RNAcentral lists this ribosomal RNA (253 nucleotides) under uncultured bacterium. RNAcentral's name for it is "partial 16S ribosomal RNA". It matches the Rfam family "Bacterial small subunit ribosomal RNA", at positions 524 to 776 of the family's 1533-position model. The record is from RNAcentral.